This 482-nucleotide ribosomal RNA is filed under the name uncultured bacterium. RNAcentral's name for it is "bacterial SSU rRNA". It matches the Rfam family "Bacterial small subunit ribosomal RNA", at positions 31 to 518 of the family's 1533-position model. The record is from RNAcentral.
GAACGCUGGCGGCGCGUCUUAAGCAUGCAAGUCGGACGGCAAGGGUUGUGCUUGCACAACUCCUAGAGUGGCGGACUGGUGAGUAACGCGUGGGUGACCUGCCCUCGAGAUGGGGACUAGCCAUUAGAAAUGGUGGAUAAUACCGAAUACGCUCAUGACCCUGUGGGGAUAUGAGGAAAACAGGCUACGGCCUGGGCUCGAGGAUGGGCCCGCGUCCCAUUAGCUAGUUGGUGAGGUAACGGCUCACCAAGGCGACGAUGCGUAGCCGACCUGAGAGGGUGAUCGGCCACAUUGGGACUGAGACACGGGCCCAGACUCCUACGGGAGGCAGCAGUGGGGAAUAUUGCACAAUGGGGGAAACCCUGAUGCCAGCAACGCCGCGUGAGUGAUGACGGCCGUUCGGGUUGUAAAGCUCUGUCUUCAGGGACGAUAAUGACGGUACCUGAGGAGGAAGCCACGGCUAACUACGUGCCAGCCGCCGC